ACGAACGCUGGCGGCGUGCUUAACACAUGCAAGUCGAACGGAAAGGCCCUGCUUUUGUGGGGUGCUCGAGUGGCGAACGGGUGAGUAACACGUGAGUAACCUGCCCUUGACUUUGGGAUAACUUCAGGAAACUGAGGCUAAUACCGGAUAGGAGCUCCUGCUGCAUGGUGGGGGUUGGAAAGUUUCGGCGGUUGGGGAUGGACUCGCGGCUUAUCAGCUUGUUGGUGGGGUAGUGGCUUACCAAGGCUUUGACGGGUAGCCGGCCUGAGAGGGUGACCGGCCACAUUGGGACUGAGAUACGGCCCAGACUCCUACGGGAGGCAGCAGUGGGGAAUAUUGCACAAUGGGCGGAAGCCUGAUGCAGCAACGCCGCGUGCGGGAUGACGGCCUUCGGGUUGUAAACCGCUUUCGCCUGUGACGAAGCGUGAGUGACGGUAAUGGGUAAAGAAGCACCGGCUAACUACGU
This 466-nucleotide ribosomal RNA is filed under the name uncultured bacterium. Its description in RNAcentral is "partial 16S ribosomal RNA". It matches the Rfam family "Bacterial small subunit ribosomal RNA", at positions 29 to 506 of the family's 1533-position model. The record is from RNAcentral.